CCUACGGGAGGCAGCAGUGGGGAAUAUUGGUCAAUGGGCGCGAGCCUGACCCAGCAACGUCGCGUGAAGGAAGAAGGCUCUCGGGUUGUUAACCUCCUUUUAUAAAGAAGAGCAGAAAACGAUACCUCUUGAUUAAUCCACGCCUAACUACGUGCCAGCGGCCGCGGUCAUACGUAGGUGGCAAGCGUUGUCCGGAUUUACUGGGUGUAAAGGGCGUGCAGCUGGGAAGACAAGUCAGAUGUGAAAUCCGGCGGCUCAACCGCGGAACUGCAUUUGAAACUGGUUUUCUUGAGUACCGGAGAGGUAAGCGGAAUUCGUGGUGUAGCGGUGAAAUGCGUAGAUAUAAGGAAGAACACCGGUGGCGAAGGCAGAUGACUGGACUGCAACUGACGGUGAGGCGCGAAAGCGUGGGGAGCAAACAGGAUUAGAUACCCGAGUAGUC
This 442-nucleotide ribosomal RNA is filed under the name uncultured bacterium. RNAcentral's name for it is "partial 16S ribosomal RNA". It matches the Rfam family "Bacterial small subunit ribosomal RNA", at positions 338 to 795 of the family's 1533-position model. The record is from RNAcentral.